RNAcentral lists this ribosomal RNA (161 nucleotides) under uncultured bacterium. RNAcentral describes it as "partial 16S ribosomal RNA". The record is from RNAcentral.
GCACGUAGUUAGCCGGUGCUUAUUCUUACGGUACCGUCAUGGACCCCCUUUAUUAGAAGGAGUCUUUUCGUUCCGUACAAAAGCAGUUUACAACCCGAAGGCCUUCAUCCUGCACGCGGCAUGGCUGGAUCAGGCUUGCGCCCAUUGUCCAAAAUUCCCCA